This 253-nucleotide ribosomal RNA is filed under the name uncultured bacterium. Its description in RNAcentral is "partial 16S ribosomal RNA". It matches the Rfam family "Bacterial small subunit ribosomal RNA", at positions 524 to 776 of the family's 1533-position model. The record is from RNAcentral.
UACGGAGGGUGCAAACGUUGCUCGGAAUCAUUGGGCGUAAAGCGCACGUAGGCGGCGAAGCAAGUCGGGUGUGAAAGCCCUGGGCUCAACCCAGGAAGUGCAUUCGAAACUAUUUCGCUUGAAUCUCGGAGGGGGUCAGAGAAUUCCCGGUGUAGAGGUGAAAUUCGUAGAUAUCGGGAGGAAUACCAGUGGCGAAGGCGCUGACCUGGACGAAGAUUGACGCUGAGGCACGAAAGCGUGGGGAUCAAACAGG